RNAcentral lists this ribosomal RNA (753 nucleotides) under uncultured Pseudomonas sp. RNAcentral describes it as "bacterial SSU rRNA". It matches the Rfam family "Bacterial small subunit ribosomal RNA", at positions 28 to 776 of the family's 1533-position model. The record is from RNAcentral. Lineage: Bacteria; Pseudomonadati; Pseudomonadota; Gammaproteobacteria; Pseudomonadales; Pseudomonadaceae.
AUUGAACGCUGGCGGCAGGCCUAACACAUGCAAGUCGAGCGGAUGAAGGGAGCUUGCUCCUGGAUUCAGCGGCGGACGGGUGAGUAAUGCCUAGGAAUCUGCCUGGUAGUGGGGGAUAACGUCCGGAAACGGGCGCUAAUACCGCAUACGUCCUGAGGGAGAAAGUGGGGGAUCUUCGGACCUCACGCUAUCAGAUGAGCCUAGGUCGGAUUAGCUAGUUGGUGGGGUAAAGGCCUACCAAGGCGACGAUCCGUAACUGGUCUGAGAGGAUGAUCAGUCACACUGGAACUGAGACACGGUCCAGACUCCUACGGGAGGCAGCAGUGGGGAAUAUUGGACAAUGGGCGAAAGCCUGAUCCAGCCAUGCCGCGUGUGUGAAGAAGGUCUUCGGAUUGUAAAGCACUUUAAGUUGGGAGGAAGGGCAGUAAGUUAAUACCUUGCUGUUUUGACGUUACCAACAGAAUAAGCACCGGCUAACUUCGUGCCAGCAGCCGCGGUAAUACGAAGGGUGCAAGCGUUAAUCGGAAUUACUGGGCGUAAAGCGCGCGUAGGUGGUUCAGCAAGUUGGAUGUGAAAUCCCCGGGCUCAACCUGGGAACUGCAUCCAAAACUACUGAGCUAGAGUACGGUAGAGGGUGGUGGAAUUUCCUGUGUAGCGGUGAAAUGCGUAGAUAUAGGAAGGAACACCAGUGGCGAAGGCGACCACCUGGACUGAUACUGACACUGAGGUGCGAAAGCGUGGGUAGCAAACAGG